ACUGAAGAUACCUUGAGACCAGAGGCUGUGUUCAACAAGAGUCUGCUGAUCUUAUCCAGUUGGUGUUGCUAAAGAUGACGAUGAUGAAGAUACUCCUCCUGGUGGUUUUGGUGGGAUGCUGCAGCCAGCUCUGUGCUGCUUACUUUGAAGAUGAUCAUAUAGUUACAGGACAAGACCGAAAUAAAGACUGUACCGAGUUAAUGAAUGAUAAGAGAUUGACAAAUCGUUGUUUGUGAUGUCCGGUGUUGUUCGCUCUUCAGAGUUCCAGUCCAGUUCUCUCGUUGUCCCUGUUUCAGUGUCCUGUUUGCUGUUACCGGAUUCAGCCGUGUCUGUUCAACACUUCUCUUCACUCUUCUCACCACGAUCAUCUGACCAUUGGAGACUCUGCGCCA
Xyrauchen texanus (razorback sucker) is the source of this 392-nucleotide long non-coding RNA. RefSeq lists it as uncharacterized. The record is from RefSeq and is a predicted model, not a curated record. NCBI's taxonomy places the organism in Eukaryota, Metazoa, Chordata, Actinopteri, Cypriniformes, Catostomidae. The transcript is spliced from 3 exons.